RNAcentral lists this ribosomal RNA (492 nucleotides) under uncultured bacterium. RNAcentral describes it as "partial 16S ribosomal RNA". It matches the Rfam family "Bacterial small subunit ribosomal RNA", at positions 29 to 507 of the family's 1533-position model. The record is from RNAcentral.
AGUGAACGCUGGCGGUAGGCCUAACACAUGCAAGUCGAACGGCAGCACAGUAAGAGCUUGCUCUUACGGGUGGCGAGUGGCGGACGGGUUAGGAAUACAUCGGAAUCUACUUUUUCGUGGGGGAUAACGUAGGGAAGCUUACGCUAAUACCGCAUACGACCUACGGGUGAAAGCAGGGGAUCUUCGGACCUUGCGCGAUUGAAUGAGCCGAUGUCGGAUUAGCUAGUUGGCGGGGUAAAGGCCCACCAAGGCGACGAUCCGUAGCUGGUCUGAGAGGAUGAUCAGCCACACUGGAACUGAGACACGGUCCAGACUCCUACGGGAGGCAGCAGUGGGGAAUAUUGGACAAUGGGCGCAAGCCUGAUCCAGCCAUACCGCGUGGGUGAAGAAGGCCUUCGGGUUGUAAAGCCCUUUUGUUGGGAAAGAAAAGCAGCAGGUUAAUACCCCGCUGUUCUGACGGUACCCAAAGAAUAAGCACCGGCUAACUUCGUG